AAAGAUUAAGCCAUGCAUGUCUAAGUAUAAGCAAUUAUACCGUGAAACUGCGAAUGGCUCAUUAAAUCAGUUAUCGUUUAUUUGAUAGUACCUUACUACUUGGAUAACCGUGGUAAUUCUAGAGCUAAUACAUGCUGAAAACCCCAACUUCGGAAGGGGUGUAUUUAUUAGAUAAAAAACCAAUGCCCUUCGGGGCUCUUUGGUGAUUCAUGAUAACUUCUCAGAUCGCAUGGCCUUGCGCCGGCGACGGUUCAUUCAAAUUUCUGCCCUAUCAACUUUCGAUGGUAAGGUAUUGGCUUACCAUGGUUUCAACGGGUAACGGGGAAUUAGGGUUCGAUUCCGGAGAGGGAGCCUGAGAAACGGCUACCACAUCCAAGGAAGGCAGCAGGCGCGCAAAUUACCCAAUCCCGACACGGGGAGGUAGUGACAAUAAAUACUGAUACAGGGCUCUUUUGGGUCUUGUAAUUGGAAUGAGUACAAUUUAAACCUCUUAACGAGGAACAAUUGGAGGGCAAGUCUGGUGCCAGCAGCCGCGGUAAUUCCAGCUCCAAUAGCGUAUAUUAAAGUUGUUGCAGUUAAAAAGCUCGUAGUUGAACCUUUGGCCUGGCUGGCAGGUCCGCCUCACCGCGUGCACUUGUCCGGCCGGGCCUUUUCUUCUGGAGAACCGCAUGCCCUUCACUGGGUGUGUUGGGGACCAGGACUUUUACUUUGAAAAAAUUAGAGUGUUCAAAGCAGGCCUUUGCUCGAAUACGUUAGCAUGGAAUAAUAGAAUAGGACGUGCGGUCCUAUUUUGUUGGUUUCUAGGACCGCCGUAAUGAUUAAUAGGGACAGUCGGGGGCAUCAGUAUUCAAUUGUCAGAGGUGAAAUUCUUGGAUUUAUUGAAGACUAACUACUGCGAAAGCAUUUGCCAAGGAUGUUUUCAUUAAUCAGUGAACGAAAGUUAGGGGAUCGAAGACGAUCAGAUACCGUCGUAGUCUUAACCAUAAACUAUGCCGACUAGGGAUCGGGCGGUGUUUCUAUUUUGACUCGCUCGGCACCUCACGACAAA
Molecule: ribosomal RNA, 1048 nt
Filed under: Polyschema terricola
Lineage: Eukaryota; Fungi; Ascomycota; Dothideomycetes; Pleosporales; Latoruaceae
Description: SSU rRNA
Rfam family: Eukaryotic small subunit ribosomal RNA
Source: RNAcentral